Molecule: long non-coding RNA, 2102 nt
Filed under: Citrus maxima (pomelo)
Lineage: Eukaryota; Viridiplantae; Streptophyta; Magnoliopsida; Sapindales; Rutaceae
Description: long non-coding RNA (CMAX_LNC000704)
Source: RNAcentral
CCCUUCAUAACCCAGGAAACCCAAACCCUUGUCGUGAGUGAGUGAAUCACGGGCUUAAACAUAAGCAUUAUAUGUUUAAAAAAAUACAUUUUUUGUAAAGAUUAUCCCCAAGUCCUUGCUAAUAGGAACCCUUAUGCCUAUAUAAUUCUCUUAUGCUUUUCAUGUUUUUUUUUAAUGACUCUAACAUCUUUAAUUUCUCUAAUUCCAAGUUUAUGAUGCUUAUAGAAUAAAGCCAAAUUUGUUAUUAUUGCUCUCGUAAGUUCAUUUCUUCAUGACCCACCAUGCAUUUUUACCCCUGUUUUUGAUUGGAAGUAUUGAAUUAAUAUAUAAUUGAACUGGUUUAGUAAAAAUCUACUCUUAACCUUGUUACUAAAUAAAGAAUUGAUUUGUCUUAUUACCUGCAGUUAAGCAGUGAAUUGUUCACAAGUUAAAAGCAAGCCGCAAAUGAUUUUCUUGUCCAUUCAUUAUUCAUUUAUAAGAUAUGCUUGCUGCUGGUGAAGGAAGGCCAUAUGCUAGUUGCUGCAAAAUGGAGUUUGUAGGUGAAUGUUUAUGGACUAAAAUAUAUAAGUGCUUGAUAGUGUUUUGAUUUUCAAAUUUUAUAGGUACAUGAAUUGAAUUGCUAUUUUGAUUUGUGUAAUGCAAAAUCUGUUAUCUUUGUUCCUCUACAUGUUAAGAGUAGGUAGAUUGGUAGUUGUUUCAUGCAUGGGUUAUUUAAGUCUCUUGAAGAUGUUCUGUGUAAUGUGAAGCAAAUGAGUACUUGGUUAUGACUUUCAUAUGUUAGACACUAACAAUAUGACUUACAAAUGAGUGACAAUUCAUAAUUGACUUAGCAGUGAGAUAACUUGUAAUGUGUACAUGUUAUAUAGGACAUGAGUGAUAAUUAGACCAAUCUUCUAUCUUUAUCUUUAUUCCUCUUCUUUUUGUUUUGUUCUUGAAUGUAGGUAAUCACAUGCAUGUUGCCAUACUAUUCACUGUCUUCAGAUUUUUUAUGCCCUCCAAUUGUUUGAUAAAAAGCCUGAAUGAAUCUUGGCACUUCAUUUUUGGCAGCCCAUUUCUACAUAUGAGGAGCUAAGGAAUAUGGAGUUAAAGAGCUUGAGGAAAGGCUUAUGGUUUCUACUUGAAUCUAUAUCUAUAUUGUUUUAUAUGAAUUUGGCUGAUUGAAAUUACAUUCCAGUAGAAUAAUAAAUGGAUAAUGAAAUUUACUUUUGUGAUUUUCAAAAUGGAUGGAGUAAAAUAAUAAAUAACUAUCCUUUCCGUAAAUAAUUUUAAUUUACAAAGGCAAUACUAAUUUAUAUAUAUAUAUAUAUAUAUAUAUUUCAUAUGAGGAGUUGUAUAGUAGGCAUAUGGAUUGAGGCUUUGCAUCUACAUCCAUAUUUGCAUUAAAGUGGUUAGUGUUGGUGUUCACAAGUUGUUUUGGCUUCAAAGAUUAUUAUAUAAGUUGAGUAAACAAUAGUAAUUCAUAUAAUAAUGUAGAUCAACACUCGUUGAAAUAUCUUUUUUUUUUAAUUAGCAUGGUCUUCAAGAUAUUCAAUGUCUUCCUGUAUAAUUUUGGAUAAAAGAGUAAUAUUGUUGGAGCUCAUUUAAAGCGCAUAAAGUGUUUUGAAUUGUUAUCACAUGGAUAUAUUAAAUGAAUGAUAAUUAAGUAGUUUACAAUUUGAUUUUUGGUAAAUAACUUGUUGUUUUAAAAUUAAAGUUCAAGAGAAUUGAUGAAUACGCCAUGAAAGAGGUCUCACGACUUCGUGAUCAAUGGGCUACGUAUGUUGUCAAGUUAAUUACAACUUGUAAUCAUGAGGUAACAUAUGACUAAUUUAUGAUUAUUUUUGCUUUUAAAUUUCAAGACUUAUUUUUUUGUGGUGUACUAAUUGAUUUAAUGUACUUGUAGGUGGGAAAAAAAUGAAGCCACGUAUGGCUAUUCAAUGACAUUAUCGAGCAUAUUCUUGUUGGUUAAUGUUUUUGAAACUUGAUUUUGUACUUUGUUAUUUAAAACAUGUCCAAAACUUAAUUUGGUACUUUUUUUUUCUUUACCAAACAGUGGUGUAGUUGAAUUAUGUUAAUUUAAGUUAUGUAUUUGUGAUGUUUAUUAUGUGAAUACUGUUGCAAGA